GCGGCGGCGCAGUAUUCUAGUCAGAUCUGCCGUUUCCGAGGGAGGACCUAAAAAGCCUCCAAAGGGCACACCUGUGAAACUUCUGGUGUUUGCUUGAGACGCCCAGUCUUGGGUGGAUGCUGGGAGGAAGCGUGCUUUUUACGCUUGCGGACUCAGGGCGAUUUCCAAUGGCAUGGAUACCCCGACCCUGUUUCCGUGGAGACCUGUUCUUGUGCAUGGACGUACUCCCAUUGCGGUAAUUCCGAUUCAUGUACGAAGCAGAUUUGAACCUGCAAUGCGGUGCAUCGCGCCAUACGGCGCGUAACGCUGUGUGCAGUCGUAGCCUGCCUUGCGUGAGGCGGGUGGAUGGGGGAUCAACGCGGCAGUACUCUGGCCGGAGUGCGGAUCGCGAUCGCCCCCUGAAACCCGGUUUGCAAAAGAGGCUAAAGAAACGGACAGACUGCGGUGGAAAACACCUAGGCUGUUCUCGCGAGGCGAAGCAGGGAUUGCAGUGCGGACUCAGUGGCAAUCGGGUAGUGCGUCCGGCGACGGCGCACCUCGGAACUGAAAGGGGAACCGCCUCCAUCGGCAACGAGAGGUGUUCCGUGGGGAAAACAGACCCGUACCUAAGCCGCAAGAUUUACCUGGUUCGCUGCCGCUGACUU
RNAcentral lists this small RNA (644 nucleotides) under uncultured Dysosmobacter sp. The record is from RNAcentral. Lineage: Bacteria; Bacillati; Bacillota; Clostridia; Eubacteriales; Oscillospiraceae.